AUAACCGCGAAGUCGCGGCGCCGUCAAGACACGACGGUGAGUGGGGAGCAUUACCCCCCCAAAACCCUGGGGAUACAGGGCCCA
The sequence is a regulatory RNA element, 84 nucleotides long. It matches the Rfam family "Tymovirus/Pomovirus/Furovirus tRNA-like 3' UTR element". The record is from Rfam.